RNAcentral lists this ribosomal RNA (495 nucleotides) under uncultured bacterium. RNAcentral's name for it is "partial 16S ribosomal RNA". It matches the Rfam family "Bacterial small subunit ribosomal RNA", at positions 28 to 507 of the family's 1533-position model. The record is from RNAcentral.
GAUGAACGCUGGCGGCGUGCCUAAUACAUGCAAGUAGAACGCUGAAGGCGGAGCUUGCUCUUCUGGAUGAGUUGCGAACGGGUGAGUAACGCGUAGGUAACCUGCCUGGUAGCGGGGGAUAACUAUUGGAAACGAUAGCUAAUACCGCAUGACAACAGUUAUUGCAUGAUAACUGUUUAAAAGGGGCAACUGCUCCACUACCAGAUGGACCUGCGUUGUAUUAGCUAGUUGGUGAGGUAACGGCUCACCAAGGCGACGAUACAUAGCCGACCUGAGAGGGGGAUCGGCCACACUGGGACUGAGACACGGCCCAGACUCCUACGGGAGGCAGCAGUAGGGAAUCUUCGGCAAUGGACGGAAGUCUGACCGAGCAACGCCGCGUGAGUGAAGAAGGUUUUCGGAUCGUAAAGCUCGGUUGUAAGAGAAGAACGAGGGUGAGAGUGGAAAGUUCACACUGUGACGGUAUCUUACCAGAAAGGGACGGCUAACUACGUG